UUUCCGUAGGUGAACCUGCGGAAGGAUCAUUAACAAAUCCAUGUUGUUGUUGUUUUGAUUGUCUUUGUUGGUGUAUAUGUCAUGUUUGUUCAGAUUCUGUUCAAGUAUGUGUGUACAUUGACGAUGCAUUCAUUACAAACAAACACAUUAGUUCCAUAUAUGUGUACACAUUCGUUCAUUCGUCUUGUGUGCACAUAUUGUGGUACAUUCUACGAAUCGUCUGAUUUAUUCAUUUCAAAUCAUAUUAAACAAUAACUUUUAACAAUGGAUCUCUAGGCUCUU
This 282-nucleotide unclassified non-coding RNA is filed under the name plant metagenome. Its description in RNAcentral is "partial contains small subunit ribosomal RNA, internal transcribed spacer 1, and 5.8S ribosomal RNA". The record is from RNAcentral.